GGCUCCAUGGCCUAAUGGCAAGGCGUUACUUUCCGGUUGACACUGAUGGUAAAGAUUCUGGGUUCGAUCCCCAGUGGGGUCG
This is a non-coding RNA of Immersiella caudata, 82 nucleotides long. Lineage: Eukaryota; Fungi; Ascomycota; Sordariomycetes; Sordariales; Lasiosphaeriaceae. The record is from the annotation of a GenBank genome assembly.